RNAcentral lists this ribosomal RNA (245 nucleotides) under uncultured Syntrophomonas sp. Its description in RNAcentral is "partial 16S ribosomal RNA". It matches the Rfam family "Bacterial small subunit ribosomal RNA", at positions 524 to 768 of the family's 1533-position model. Lineage: Bacteria; Bacillati; Bacillota; Clostridia; Eubacteriales; Syntrophomonadaceae. The record is from RNAcentral.
GACGUAGGGGGCGAGCGUUGUCCGGAAUUACUGGGCGUAAAGAGCACGUAGGCGGGAAUUUAAGUCAGAUGUGAAAGACCGGGGCUCAACCCCGGGGUUGCAUUUGAAACUGGAUUUCUUGAGGGCAGGAGAGGAAAGCAGAAUUCCUGGUGUAGCGGUGAAAUGCGUAGAAAUCAGGAGGAAUACCAGUGGCGAAGGCGGCUUUCUGGACUGUCCCUGACGCCGAGGUGCGAAAGCGUGGGUAG